CUCACCAUCGCAGCUCCCGCCUCCUGUCUCAUGUCCCUUUCAACUAAACUUACUGACAUUGAAUGGUAAAGUGCCCACCAUGGAUGCAUAAGGAGACUUGGAUACAGCAUUGGAGGCGGAGCCCUCUUCAUUCCUACGGCCUAAUUAGAAGCCUACUGUGUGUGUCAUCAUGUAACGUCACUCACAGAAACACAGGGACGGUUGU
Epinephelus fuscoguttatus (brown-marbled grouper) is the source of this 205-nucleotide long non-coding RNA. RefSeq lists it as uncharacterized. The record is from RefSeq and is a predicted model, not a curated record. Lineage: Eukaryota; Metazoa; Chordata; Actinopteri; Perciformes; Serranidae. The transcript is spliced from 3 exons.